Rattus norvegicus (Norway rat) is the source of this 1001-nucleotide long non-coding RNA. RefSeq lists it as uncharacterized. The record is from RefSeq and is a predicted model, not a curated record. Lineage: Eukaryota; Metazoa; Chordata; Mammalia; Rodentia; Muridae.
UAGUCUGGGAAAAUUAUACCCGAAAAAACAUUGCAAUUUCAGGCAGACCCUUCUGCAAAGAAAUAAAAAUAAUCUAGUGCCCCACUCCAAUGCACAGACUUACUAUUAUGCAUCCUUGCUAAGAGCUCUGUUGAAGUCUCUGUCUACCAUAGAUUACAACAGUAACUGACCUUUGCUGAACUUAACAAGGCAUUUUAUGUCAAUGUUAAGCAUGGCAAGAAAUUUGUUAAUAUUUCCAUUUUGUAGAGGAAGAAACUGAGGCCUGAUAAUUUUACACAGACACAGACACAGACACAGACACAGACACAGACACAGACACAGACACAGACACAGACACAGACACAGACACAGAUACAUGUAUACACACACAUAUAUACAUUGAUACCUAGUCUCACAUGUACCUGGCUGGCCUUGAACUUGUUAUGUAGCUCAGGAUAACCUUAGACUUCUGAUCCUCUGUGUCUGUCAUCUGAGUGAUGGGAUCACAAGCGUGUGUCACCACAGUUGGUUUAUAUGGUUGUGGUGCUUGGAAUGAGAAUGGCCCCCAAAGGCUCAUGAAUGCCUGGUCAUCAGGGAUUGUCACUAUUGGAAAGGAUUAGCAGAUGAGGGCUUGUUAGAGGAAGUGUGUCACUGAGGUGGGUGGGCUUUGAGGUUUCAAAAGCUCAUGCUAGGUCCGGUGCUUCUGUCUUCUCAAAGCCUGUAGACUUGGGUGUAGAAUUCUCAGCUAUUGUGCCUGCUUGUGUGCUGCCCUGCCUCCUGCUCUGAGAAAAUGGACACUACCUCGGAACUAAACCCUUUCACCCUUCGACUCUGAGGUCAUGGAUGGAAGGCAGUGAACGUGACCCAGAAAGAGGAUCUCUAUUAGGCACAAAUCUACUGCUGCUUUGAUCUGGGACUUUCUAGAAACUGGGACAGGAGUGCUUCUAUCUGAAAGGGACCUUCGCUACUAGAUGUUUUUCAUGGAGACCAACUUGAUUGGGACCAAGAUUCUUUUCUUCAGC